UACGUAGGGUCCGAGCGUUGUCCGGAAUUACUGGGCGUAAAGAGCUCGUAGGUGGUUUGUCGCGUUGUUCGUGAAAACUCACAGCUUAACUGUGGGCGUGCGGGCGAUACGGGCAGACUGGAGUACUGCAGGGGAGACUGGAAUUCAUGGUGUAGCAGUGAAAUGCGUAGAGAUCAUGAGGAAGACCAGUGGCGAAGGCGGGUCUCUGGACAGUUCCUGACACUGAGACACGAAGGCCAGGGGAGCAAACGGG
RNAcentral lists this ribosomal RNA (253 nucleotides) under uncultured bacterium. RNAcentral describes it as "partial 16S ribosomal RNA". It matches the Rfam family "Bacterial small subunit ribosomal RNA", at positions 524 to 776 of the family's 1533-position model. The record is from RNAcentral.